CUCUUAAAUUAAUAAUAGAAUUUUAUAUUUAAGUAAAAAAGCUUAAAUGAGUUUAAAAGACGAGAAGACCCUAUAGAGUUUUAUAAAAAUUAAUUUUGAAAUUUUUUGUAUAUUUUAUUUUAAUUAUUAAGGUUUUAUUUUAUUGGGGUGAUAGAAAAAUUUAGUAAACUUUUUUUUUAUGAAAACAUUUAUAUAUGAUUAAUUGAUCCAUUUUAAUGAUUAUAAGAUUAAAUUACCUUAGGGAUAACAG
This 250-nucleotide ribosomal RNA is filed under the name Loxosceles reclusa (brown recluse). Its description in RNAcentral is "partial 16S ribosomal RNA". Lineage: Eukaryota; Metazoa; Arthropoda; Arachnida; Araneae; Sicariidae. The record is from RNAcentral.